AACGCUGUGUUUUCUUCUAGGGUUCACGUGAGUUCAUCUUCACAGCUCCAGGAGCAGAGACGACUUCGUUUGCGCAGCCGAUCCUUCACCUCCUUCCUUCCGAUACCAGAAACAGAUUUAACAUCUUUAAACUCUCCAUUAAUUGAACACCCACGAUCUAGAUUCAAUGCGAGCUUUUUUUUUGUGUAAGGCAGUGGAGUCUGGCUAUAAAAAGGUUAUGUAUUAGAUGGAUCGGUGAUUUGUGUUCAUAACGAAGCUGGUGGCGAGUCUGGCGACUGUUUCUGUUUCCGCAAGUCAGACGAAAUCACGAAUCUUUUGAACUUAUCUUGUGUUUUUUAUAACUUUGAAACAUGAAGUUUAAAACAUAAAGCCAAGUAUAUGACAUCUUUAAAAUUGAAAAUUUGAGAAUCUUUAAAUCUUUAAAACUGAAAUUAUGUUUUUACAUUAAAUGGACGUAUGGGCCGUCUAUGGAUAGCCCAACAAAUUAUGGUCUUAUUUGGUUAUGGUCUCAUUUGGACAUGGUUCUAUUUGGGCUUCGACCAAAAAUGUCCAGCAAAAAAAUAAAACCCAUUCGGACACACCCAAACCCGCCCAACCCGCCCAUUUGACAUCUCUAGUCAUGGCUAACCCUUUGGUCAACCUCUCCGAUCUACAGUCUGGCCGCUCUUCCUACACCGUUCAAGUCCGAUUGCUCCACUUCUGGGAGGCCAGGAACGUCUGACGCGCUGGCGAACUCAUGGUACUCGAUAUGUUGCUGCUUGAUUCCCAGGUGAAACUUUGGACACGCUGAAGAGGGCGAUUCAUGUACGAGAUGCAACUGCAAAAAGUCAAAGUGUUUGAAGCUGUAAGUUCACCUUGCUCCUCUUUAAUCUUUGCAUGUUUAAGAAAUUCAAAACUGGCUUGAAGUUGAUUGUUGUUUGAGUCUCUGUAGUUACUAUGAAUUUUUCUGCUGAGUUUAUUGCAUAGAGCCAUGUUCAUGUCUAGAUUGCUUCAAGCCUCCAACAAACUAAUCCAUUAAGACUCUGUCUUGGCUACCCGCAAACAGAUUGAGAAUUCACUUGCAUUAUCUCCCAAACACAAAAAACAACAACACUCUCUAUACAGAGAUCAUGCGGAUAAAUCCCAGAGUUUGUUACUCAGAUUUCUAUCACCGCUGCUGGCACUGGUAUCACUGUGCUGUUCAGUGUGAUAUGUAGCCUUGCUUCAAGUCGUGUACCCUUUUGCACAAACAAGUUCUUCAACACUGGACUUGGUUUAAGUGUGGUAAUACUGUUUUGGGCUGUGGAUAGACUCAGGGAGAUGAUUACUUAGAGCAUGCCUUUUCAAUGGGUUAUGGCUUUUAAGUUAGCAAUGAGAACCAUAGUUAUAUCUGUGGAAGCAAAAGCUAAACAGUAUUUUAUUUUCUAAUGGGAAACCUCUUAUUAUCCUUUGUAAAUUAUAUGUUUCUCCAAUGACCUGGAGAAUAUAUAAACUGGUUUAUGUUUGUGAGAAUCAAGAACAAACAAAUACUUGAAUAUAAAACAUGUAUACCCAGGA
Molecule: long non-coding RNA, 1536 nt
Organism: Brassica rapa (field mustard)
Lineage: Eukaryota; Viridiplantae; Streptophyta; Magnoliopsida; Brassicales; Brassicaceae
Source: RefSeq, a predicted model, not a curated record